UAUUUCAUAGCAUAGAAUAUGUUUUUUAUUAAUUAUGAACUUUAAUUUUAUUUGUUUUGCUUGUUUUAUAAUUUGCGUAAAGCACUUUUAAGUUCUAAUUAUUGUGUUGAUUUAAAUUUACUAUCCUAAGUAAACAAAAAAAAUUUAUUCUCUUAUAUAACAGGAAUUCUGUAUAUUUACUUAUCAAUGAUAUUUGUGAAUACAAUUUAAUUUUGUUUAAUUCUAUAUUUUUUGUUCUUUUAUUUGCUUUGUGUUUGCAUGUCAUUUUGUAUUUCAAGUUUCCUCAUAAUUAAGCUGAUGACUAAUUAUUGUAUGAAUUUUUUGAACAUUAAAAGUUUUAAAUAAAAUCCAUCAAGUUAUAGAUGUAUGCAUAUAAAAACUGAUUUAUCUUUUCUAUUUUUUUAAUUACCUCAUAAAGUGAUGUUAUUCAGCAUUUAAUAUUAAACUCACAAAGAUUUUUAAAAUCCAGAUCUCCAUUAACCCUCAAACAAUCAAAAGAUGAAGAUUUGUAUAACUGUAAUACGGAUGAUUACAGAUUAAACAGUCCUGACAAGCAACUAGUUUGUCAAAUAUGUGGCCGUUGGUGCAGUUCUAAAAGUAGUUUACUGACUCACUUAAGAGUGCACACCGGAGAAAAGCCCUUUGCGUGUGAUCUAUGCGGAAAGAGAUUUACGCAGAAAGCAACCCUCCAAAGGCAUCGUCAUUUACAUACUGGUGAGAAGCAUUUUAAAUGUGAUCAUUGUGGUAAACGGUUUUAUCGUAAAGAUAAGUUGUAUGAGCAUUCUAAUGUUCAUCGCCAAAAUCGUGUGGCAAUUCCCAUUUCUAACGAAAUAUAUCCUUGACAAUUAUAUUUACAAAAUUAUUAUAAAAAAUUUUUCUUAGCAUAAUUUAUUAAGUUAUGCAGUCUGAUUAUUUAUUUUAUUUAUAAAAUUCUAUUGUGAUUUAGUGUAGUUUUUUCAUGAAAAAGUGUGGAAAAGAAAAGUAAUCAGAAGAAUGAAAGAUUUAAAAUUACUAAUUUAUUUACCUAAUUUGUGCAAUUUUUUAUUAAGAAAAUUAAUUAAUGCCUUUUUUUUUUUACCAGCAAUAUCAAAACCAAAAUCAGAAACCUUAAAAUACUAAUUUGAUUUGUGCAUUUGUUUAUUAACUAUAAAAUUUAAACUGUUUUUUAUUGCUUAUUUUCUGGCUACAAAAAAUGUCUUACUACAACGUAAGUGUAAAGUAAAUCAUUUCUAUCAUUCAUUGUGAAUUGAUUGAGGUCUUUGAUUCCAUUUCCAGUUCUAUUUAUUUUCAAAAAUAUAAUAUGAUAUACAAAAUUUUUUUAUAUAAACUUAUGUUAUAAUGUUAAAAAUAUUAUUACUUAUGUUAUAUAAAUUUGUUUACUUAAAAAUUAUAUAAUUUUAUGACAUUAUUGACUUUAUUUAUGUCGAUUUUUAUGAGAAACUGAAGAAUAAAUUAUAAGUCACUUUUUUCUUUCUGCAAAUACUAAAAAAAGGUAGUACACUUAACUUUUUUCAAUUUUUAAAAUUGAUGCUAUGAUGAAAGCAAUGACUGCUAGUUAUGUAAUCAAAAAGAUCAUAUUUUGUAAAGUUAUGUAUUUUAAUUUUAUUGAAUUAUCUGAUUGAUCCGUUACCGCAAAUUAUUGCUGCAGCCGUCCGAUUUUUGAUAUAGUAAAUGUCAGCUAUAGUCAUCCUGUGCAUUAUAUUAAUAAAAAGGGGCAUUAACAUUUACAAGUGGUGGACCGAAACAAAUUCAUUAUCAUUGAUAUCCACAGGUUUUAUAUGACAACUUACUAGUUCACUAGUUGAACUUUGCAGUUGUAAAAAAAGAUGGGUAAAGUAUAAAAUAUAAUUAUAUUUUUGAUUUGGAAUCAAAUUUUUUAUAGUAUUCUUGAUAACCCAAAUGGGUAGUAUGUGUUGUUUUUUGGAAGCCUAUCAAAUUUUUAUAAUGAAAUUAAAUAAUUGAUGAUAAAGUAUGCCUAUUUACUAAAUUUAAAAAAAAAAUGCUGUUUUGCUAAUUUUUUUGAUGAAAAUCUGUUUUAAGUGCUUUUGAAAACCAUUCACCAUGCAGUGCAAUAUUUAAAUUCUUUAUAUUUUAUGUGGUUGAACAGUUAAUUAAUAUUGAGUUAAUGUUUUGUGAAAAUUAUUUGUUAGCAAGAUUUGAAUUGUUUAGGAUACUAUAUUUAUUCUUGUUGAAAAUAUUAAAGAUUAUUUUGUUAUAUCUUAUGGGGCGAUUUUUUAAUGCAUGAGAAAAAUUUACUUCUUUAAAAAUACUGAAUUUUUGUUGCAAUUAGUGAAGUUUUGUGUAUGCUUAUUAAAUAAUGUUAUAUUUAUGUUAAAAAUUUUCUUAAAAUAUGCAAAUUAUAAACCAGUUUUGACAGAAUUUAUAAAUAUUGUUUUGUUGAUAGAAAAAAGGGCCUGGGUUGGUGCGUUAGGUUACCAUAGAAAAAAAAUUUAUGAAUUCAUUAAAGUUGUUUCUAAUGGAAAUUUAUUUUUUGUUGGAAAAAUUUGUAUUUGUCAACUGUUAAGUAUUAUGAAAUAAUUUGCAUAUUAUUAGAAUUGAAACACGUUUUUCAGACCUAUAAUAUUAAAAAAUUUUAUAUUCUG
This is a long non-coding RNA of Parasteatoda tepidariorum (common house spider), 2603 nucleotides long. RefSeq lists it as uncharacterized. Lineage: Eukaryota; Metazoa; Arthropoda; Arachnida; Araneae; Theridiidae. The record is from RefSeq and is a predicted model, not a curated record.